Molecule: non-coding RNA, 27 nt
Filed under: Cricetulus griseus (Chinese hamster)
Lineage: Eukaryota; Metazoa; Chordata; Mammalia; Rodentia; Cricetidae
Source: RNAcentral
CGGGCGAGUUCGAGAAGAAGUAUGUAG